CAUGUAUUCAUGCCCUGUAAACAUUGCUAUACAGAGUAGAUUAGCAUGGCCCCUGCGCAUGGAUGACACGCAAAAUCGUGAAGCGUUCCACAUUUUU
RNAcentral lists this small nuclear RNA (97 nucleotides) under Bemisia tabaci. The record is from RNAcentral. Lineage: Eukaryota; Metazoa; Arthropoda; Insecta; Hemiptera; Aleyrodidae.